GACGAACGCUGGCGGCGUGCUUAACACAUGCAAGUCGUACGGUAAGGCCCUUUCGGGGGUACACGAGUGGCGAACGGGUGAGUAACACGUGAGUAACCUGCCCACAACUUUGGGAUAACGCUAGGAAACUGGUGCGAAUACUGGAUAUGUGCUACUGCUGCAUGGUGGGGGUUGGAAAGCUCCGGCGGUUGUGGAUGGACUCGCGGCCUAUCAGCCUGUUGGUGGGGUAGUGGCCGACCAAGGCGGCGACGGGUAGCCGGCCUGGGAGGGUGACCGGGCACCAUUGGGCUGAGGUUCGGGCCCGUCUCCUACCGGGGGCCAUCGGGGGGAAUCUUGCCCCAAUGGGCCGAGCCCGAUGCAACCACCCCCCGUGCGGGAAGGCCGGCUUUCGGUUGUAAACCGGCUUCAGCCGGGACCGAGCUUUUUGUGACGGUACCUGCAGAAGAAGCACCGGCUAACUACGUG
This 465-nucleotide ribosomal RNA is filed under the name uncultured bacterium. RNAcentral's name for it is "partial 16S ribosomal RNA". It matches the Rfam family "Bacterial small subunit ribosomal RNA", at positions 28 to 507 of the family's 1533-position model. The record is from RNAcentral.